UACCUUGUUACGACUUCACCCCAAUCACGGCCACACCCUUGGUAGGCUGCCCCCUUGCGGUCAGCUCGCCUGCUUCUGGGUAUGACCACUUUCGUGGUGUGACGGGCGGUGUGUACAAGGCCCGGGAACGUAUUCACCGCAGCGUGCUGAUCUGCGAUUACUAGCGAUCCCAGCUUCAUGAAGUCGAGUUGCAGACUUCAAUCCGGACUGAGACAGUGUUUUUGGGAUUGGCUCCACCUCGCGGCUUCGCGACCCUUUGUCCCUGCCAUUGUAGUACGUGUGUAGCCCUGGACGUAAGGGCCAUGCGGACUUGACGUCAUCCCCGCCUUCCUCCGGUUUAACACCGGCAGUCUCCUCAGAGUGCCCAACUUAAUGGUAGCAACUAAGGACAAGGGUUGCGCUCGUUGCGGGACUUAACCCAACAUCUUACGACACGAGCUGACGACAGCCAUGCAGCACCUAUCACCCUGUCCCCGAAGGGAACCCUACAUUUCUGUACGUGUCAUGGGAUGUUAAGCCCA
This 521-nucleotide ribosomal RNA is filed under the name uncultured Gammaproteobacteria bacterium. RNAcentral's name for it is "partial 16S ribosomal RNA". The record is from RNAcentral. Lineage: Bacteria; Pseudomonadati; Pseudomonadota; Gammaproteobacteria.